AUGACACUCAGCAGUGGGCUCAGCUUCAACUCCCUACUAGGAUUAAGUUGCUUUGGGGAAGAAACCUCACCUUCCCCUUGUGUCUGCUUGCUGCCAAACGUUGCAUUGACGUGCAGGAGGUUAAUGCCACCCACAGCUUGGCAGAUUUGUGUGUGUAUGUGUAAAAGGAGAGGGAGACGCACAAAGAAAGAAGUAAACAUGUCCCAUUUACAAAGAAUUAUCAUCUCAACAGCACAGCAGCAGCCAAAUCCUAACAAAAGUAGGACUCCACUGAAGAAGAUAUCAAACAGUAGAGUAAGACACAGCCCUUGCUCUGUGUCUUCUACUCUGCAGCUGAAGGGAGCAGGGAAGAUGGAGCACGGUGGCAUGUUUCCAUUGCGUUUUCCACAAUUCCAUCCUAAGUAACAGAAACAACAACAGGAACUGUGACAAACCAGCAGCCCCCUUUCUGCCCAGUUCUGGGGUUAUCUCCUUUAGACUGGAAACAGAAACUGUCAGGGGCCAGGCAAGUUCUUGACCUGGUAAUUCUACAUAUACGCCGUGCCUCGGCACAAUUGUUGAACCACAAUACUAUUAGGGUAAAGUUGUAUGAAACAGGAGUAUAUUUCAACGUGGAAAUACAGGAAGCAACCAGGUACCUGCCUAUGUGGGCAUCUUUUCUGCUGUCAAAAUUCCCAAUGAGACUCAGAGGCCAUCAGUGUGAACAAGGCCAUGGUCAUCAUUUUAUCGUUAUGGAUCUUAAUAACAUGCUUGUAAUCACUUAUACCCCCAGCCCAGCCUCUCACACUAUCCUAUUUAUCUUGACAAUAACCCCUUCACCCCAGCUUUAAGCAUGUGAGUGCAAACAGAUAAAAACAGGCUCAAAUAGCUUUCCUUUUAAAAGGCAGUCCUGCAGCAGACACUAAAAUUGCCUGCAGGGUCAGCACGCUUAAAGAAGACCAGCUCCAAAGUGACACCCCAGGGACCACCUGCAUGGGAAAACUGCGUCUCUCCAAGGUCAGAUAGUAAUGGGGAGUGAGAGAUAACCUUUUUAUUCUUGCCAGGGAAUUUUGAGUGCUCAGGAAGAGUGAGAGGGAAAUGUCUUCAUUGUUAUUCCUUGUUGUUUUUAUCCUUAGCACUACUAGGAAUGCCAUAUCAUGUGUGUAAGCAAGAGCACUAGUAGUAGUAGCAAUAAUGAUAGUAACAAGGGCAUUAUUCUUAGGAGCUGUAGCCAUGAGUUCAACUUUAUUCUUAUCUGAGAAAUAAAUCUCCUAAAGCACCUCA
RNAcentral lists this long non-coding RNA (1263 nucleotides) under Anser brachyrhynchus (Pink-footed goose). Its description in RNAcentral is "lncRNA (ENSABRG00000010755.1)". The record is from RNAcentral. Lineage: Eukaryota; Metazoa; Chordata; Aves; Anseriformes; Anatidae.